UGAGGGAAAGCUGAUGACUACGUUGAUGCUGAUGAGAUGACUUUGAACUAGCAAACUUUGUAGGUUAUGAGUUGUUAUGUUUUUCUUCUCGGUUAAAGAUCUAGUCACUUGUUAUAAAAUAACCUAGAAUAUGGGCGAUAAUUCAGAGCUGCACGUAAAGUAGAUGAGACACAGCAUUUAACGAGGUUCGGCUAUGCCUACGUCCUCGGAGAGCAGCAGUAGUAACUUUUCCACUAUGUAAAAUAAUAGGGCUACAAGUUUAGUGUUUACAAUAUAUGUGGCUCACUGAAUUUUCUCUCUAGGAGAAUUUCUCUCUGCUCUCUCUUUCCUCUUUCUUCCUUCUCUUCCUUUCUCUUUUUUCUUCUCUUCUUCUUUCCGUUUCUCUUCUUAUUUAUAGGCUGAAAUAAUCACUAUUCAUCACUGUUCACCCGUGACAGACAAACUCUAUCAAAGCCGCCAAAUGAACAGUAAUGAACAGUAAUGAAAACUCUAUCAAGCCGCCAAAUGAACAGUAAUGAACAGUAAUGAAUAGUUAGUGGGCUCCACAUGUUUAUUCUUUUAUUCUUUUACAACACUCCCCCUUGGAGACCACUAAUGAUAUGUCGGUUGUAUCAUUAAAGACUUGCUUGGAGAAAACCUAGUAAGGUAGAGAACUGAUGGAAAGAAGAGUACAACAAUCUAUAUAGCAUACUUCUGGAUGCUCCUCCUGAUUAAUAUCUCCCCCUGAUGUCUUCAUGACUAUCUUUUGGAUUGAGAAUCUUUCGGAGUGAGUGGAUGAUGUAGCCACCAACAAUUCAUAUAGUAAAUAUAUUUUCAGUGAGCUAUCUCUAUGUAAAUCAUAGAAAUUUUCAGAGUCCGCAUAUCUAAUAACGACUGGGCUAUUUAUAAGUUCACUUGAAAGAAUAUGCCCAUACAUGGUGUUAUGCGGAAAUAGCAUCAAAUAUACCUCACAUCAUCCCAAAAUGAUGGUGAUGGAGUUGAGCCUUAUCUGGAAAAUAUGAUGUCCGGUCCAACAUACUUCCGGAAAAUCCUUAAAGUGCCCAACGGAUAAUUCUCAUAAAAAUGCUUCAAUACUUUCUUAGUAUAAGCAAGUAUCUCGUUGGCAUAAUGCUCGAUCUUUAAGUCGAGACAAAUAUUUCUGGAAUUCUUGAGAAGCUUGAAUGUGUUGCAAACACAUUAUAAUCAAUAUACUCACUGAGGCAAUUUAUGUACAUUAAUAUUGAGUACAGAUUUCGUGCUUCAGGCAUAUGUCCACAGACUUGCUUCAUGCAAUUUCAAUCCUUUCAAGGAUUUUGUUUAAAGGGAUUAAACUCUAUGACACAUUAUAUAGCUUUAACCUAGCUAUUUAUACAUCUUUAGGGAAUCACUUCAGGUGAUAUGCUCUGUGCAUUUAAUAACCCUUAAAGAUAACAUGUUGGUCUCCGUAAAUGUGCAAUAAAGGGGCACAAUUGAAUCUAUAAAUAUGGAGAAAACCCAACAUCCCUUGUUUAUGUCAAAAACAUUUAUUCCGAACACCCAAGUAUAACUUUUAAUAUUAACAUUUUUUAGGAUUCGUACUGUGGGUUUGUUCUUUCACGUUCAUUCUCAUCUAUAAUGGAAUUGCCUCAUUCCAUUUUGGCCAAUGAUAUUGUCGACAUUUAAUAAUUGAACGUGGUUCCAAUCAACACAGCCCAUUGAUGAUUUGAGUAGCUACUCCAAAACCAAAAAUUGUCAUUCAUCAAUUCAUGAUCCCACCAUUCUCAUGUGCAUGCGCAUGCAUGAAUUAUAAGCAUUUAUUUGCCUUUGGGUACCCAAGCCACUUCAUGGGGCUUUUAUUAUGUGAGAAUGUGGAUUAUAACCUCCAUUGGAGCGUUAUUUAGUAGUAGGGCGUGGAUAAUCUCUAUUUAGGGAGUUGGAACAUUGAGAACCCAUAUAUCUGUCAUGCUGCAGGCAUGCCACAGAUUAAUACAUACAUGUCAAUUAAUUUCUGGGACUUUAACCCAUAUUAUGGGACUUUAACCCAUAUAAUUUGCUACGCAUUAGGCGUGCAUAAUAUCAAUAUUGACAUGUCAAAGGAUUGUCCAUUUGGGACUUCAAUCCACAUCAUUUGCUACGCAACAGGCGUGCAUCAUAUUGAUCACUGCUAUACCCAUGUUAUGUUCUUAUGGGACUUUUAAUCUGUGCAGUGUAUUAUCAAUGUAUACAACUUGCAAUCUGUAAAAUUUGCAUUAAUAAUUCAUGGAUACAUACAAGUCAUUCUUUUGGAACGGACUUAUCUCCCCAUUUGGUUACCUUUCAAGAUAAAAUAUCAAAUAGGUAUAUAAGCAUAAAAUAACACAAGUAUUGCUUACAUCCUUAGGUGGGAGAAACUUUUCUCAAGUAUCAUUCAAGCUCAUAUCAGCCCAGUAAAUGUAAUGUAGCGCUUGAUGAUCUAGUUAUAUCCUGCAAGAGCAAAAAUCACAACUCUUUUCCCUCUGUCAAAACAAAUAACCCUUAUAGUUAGGAUUACUUCAUGGAUUCAUUCUUCAGAUGUUCAUUCUAAAGAAAUAAAAUCUCUUAUGAAUAGAGAGUUAUAAAAAGAGAAAAAAUGCAAAAAUAAUGUGAUAUUGAUUGCAAGAGCAGGUAAGCAAUCAGGGAAGGAAGCUGGUGGGAGCAGACAAUAAGCUCUCAUAUCUCCUAGUCUAGAAGGACCUCAGGAGAUUAGAGCAUAAGGCCGCCUUUACAAUUCCCUGAUCUUGCAGAAACAUGAUCAGGGAUAGUCUUGCUUCCUAAAUGGAUGAUCAGAGAUAGUCUUGCUUCUCAGGCAUAUUAAGUGCUUACUGAUAAGAAAAACAAGUAGAUAUCGCAUCACUAGGUAUGGAGUAAACUGGAUGUCUUCUGCAAAUAAAAUUUCGUUAGUAACACAUUUAUACACAAAUACAAUGAAUAGGUAGAACCGGUGAAUUUCAAAUUAACCAUAGGAAAAUUGCGAGAUUCUCGGGAUGCUGUUGAAAAAGUGCGAGAUUUUCGGGAUGCUUUUGAAAAAGUAGCUCCGUGAAAUCCGUAAAGCAAGAUCGGCUUUGAAAAUAAUGCUUGAAAAAGCCGAAAGUGCCGACAGGCAUUAUUAGAGGCCACGUGAAGUUUUGGACUCUAGGAAAGAAAAAGAUAAUAUGGGGAUUCGAGAAGAUAUUGGGGUCCUGAAAAACAGUAGCCAUAUUUCCUCCUAUAGAUAUAGCCUUUGUAAAACUUGAUUGGAGCAACUGCGUUUCAACUCAAAUUUCUUCAUUUUCUGAAACUUUAGUUUUCCUAAGACUUUCUUCGAAACCUUCUCAAAAAUGGCUUCCUCUUCUUCCUGCCCAAAUUAUUUCAAUUUAAAUGAUGCUCCAACAGCAAACAGUGACGCCAAAGUUUGGCGUCCAUCCUUUGUAUCCCAAAAUCGUCAUCUCACAGUUAAUGAUUCUGUGAUGAUGAAUGAUGCUACUGCUGUCAUAGUAGCUAGGAAUUUCAUUACUCCAAUGGAUGAAAUGCUGUUAACAGGGAGGUCUGAGGAAGAGGCUAUUGAUGACUCAAUGGCUUUUAGCAUUCAGAGUGCUGUUUCUGUUUCUAACAUGGCUGAUCGUUUGCGUGUUAGAGCAAACGAGGUUGAAAAGCUGACAACUGAAAAUUCGUCUCUCCAAAGAAUGCUUCAUGAGUCUCAACAGGAGGUUGAGAAACUUAAAGGAGAGAAUAAUUCCUUGUUGAAACUGGUGAGUUCGUACUCAGUUGAUACACUGAGAAGGCUAGACAUGCUGCAGGUCUCCAAUGAAAGAAUUUUGGGAGACCACGAGAAGCUCAUGGCUAAGCUUAAGAGGCGCCGUCCUCUUCCUUCAGAGGCUUCCAGAACAUAAUGUAAUUUUAUAGAUUUUACAGGGCCUGCACCUUCAUUGCAGGUGGAAAAAAUCUAUCUGUUGUAUGUUUCUGUAAUAAUAAUUGCGCACAUUCUUAAACUUGCACCUGUGGUUUUUACGUCUUUUCAAAAUGACGGUUUGGAACCUUGUGCCUUAUAGGUUCAAAUAACCACAUUGUCUCUCCCAAAUUGCAUGGUAGCCCGGAACUUUUGGCCUGGGCACAAAACUCAGAAUUUAUUUGCCCUUUUCAAAUGGACAUGAAAUAUGAAUUGAGUAAAAGCCACGAUAAUAUCGCAAUAUAGUAGUGAAGAGCAUUAACUACUAUAUACCCACAACUUCAAGUUCAGGAUCUCUCAUAUAUUUGGAUCCAUGGGCUUCCGGCCCAGGUAUAAUAAAAUAUGUGGGGAGCAUCAAUUCAUUAUUUGAAGUUUAUAUUGAUAUUAUCCAUUUCGCGGUGUAUUCUUAACAACCGGAAUUCACAAAAUAUAUUUCUUCCUUGAGGUGUCGAUUAUAACAGAAUCGAACUUUAUUAAAUUCAUCAUCUUCUUAUGCUAAAGAAAUAUGUGGUGUACCACAAUUUGUAAUAAUACCUCAAUACUCUUAAAUUUUGAACUUCAGGCCAAAGCCACAUAUUCUCAUGGUAUGGACAUUUUUACAAUUUUCUGUACAUAUUCCGGGACUUCAAGCCCUUACAUAAUUGUCCAUAUUUUGAGGAACUUCUGGCAUCUCAUUUAAUUUCUCAUCCAUGAGUUUAAGGAACUGCAGGUUCCCUUUUGUAUAUAGUGACGGUUUACCCAAAAUGGUUCAUAUUUAUGCAUACGUCACUAUUCAUGUGAAUAGUACUGUUCAUCAAGUCAUGAAUACAUAUCUAUUCAUGUGUACAGUACAUCUGCCAGUACAGUUAUCAUCCAUGUGUACGGCACUAUGAACCAAUACGGUACUAUUACAUCAUUAAGGAACCCCAGGUCCUUAUUCACAUGUCAGGGAUCAAGGACCUUUAAGUCCAAUCACAUGUUUACAAGUAUAGUACCGGAGAGACUGCCAGCUCUCAUAUCAAUAUCAUCAUCAAGGAUCUUCAAGUCCUGAUGUAAUUGUAUGAUGAGGAUCAAGGAAUUGCUGGUCCUGAUCUGCAUACUGUAAAAACUCAUCAUACAGCACAUUUAGUCUAUAAAAUAAAUUGCUGGUAAAUAAAUUACUGGUAUGGACGAUAAAACCCGCACCACACUUUAAAUAAAAGUAAAGGCGUGGACGAUAAACCCGCACCACCCUUUUAAAUAAAUGUAAAUGUGCGGUAAUUUAAAUUCAUAAAUUAAACGUGCGUGUAUGGGCACUAAUUCUGCUCCAUACUUUUAAAUGAACGUAAAGGCGUGGACGAUAAACCCGCACCACCCUUUUAAAUAAAUGUAAAUGUGCGGUAAUUUAAAUUCAUAAAUUAAAUUGUUAGUAUUAGUAACGGUCUCCCACUGAUAAUAUGUUUAGUAUUACCAAGGGUCCAUUUUUGUUAAUGGUUAGUAAUAGAAAAGCAGAUAAAUAUAGUAUAUUAUAUUACCAUCAACUUUUCAUAUAUAUAUAUAUAUAUUAGUGGAAAGCUAGAUGCGUUGGCUUUUCUUCUUUACAUCAACAUAAUGGUUAGUAUUAUAAAUAAUAGUGCAGCACAAAAAUUAUACCUGAGAGCUUCUCGUGCUGAUAACGUGUUAUAAAAUAACCUAGAAUAUGGGCGAUAAUUCAGAGCUGCACGUAAAGUAGAUGAGACACAGCAUUUAACGAGGUUCGGCUAUGCCUACGUCCUCGGAGAGCAGCAGUAGUAACUUUUCCACUAUGUAAAAUAAUAGGGCUACAAGUUUAGUGUUUACAAUAUAUGUGGCUCACUGAAUUUUCUCUCUAGGAGAAUUUCUCUCUGCUCUCUCUUUCCUCUUUCUUCCUUCUCUUCCUUUCUCUUUUUUCUUCUCUUCUUCUUUCCGUUUCUCUUCUUAUUUAUAGGCUGAAAUAAUCACUAUUCAUCACUGUUCACCCGUGACAGACAAACUCUAUCAAAGCCGCCAAAUGAACAGUAAUGAACAGUAAUGAAAACUCUAUCAAGCCGCCAAAUGAACAGUAAUGAACAGUAAUGAAUAGUUAGUGGGCUCCACAUGUUUAUUCUUUUAUUCUUUUACAACAUCACUCUGUUUGACAAAAAGGAAAAAGAAAAAAGAAAUAGUCACUCUGUGAAUGUACUAACCAUUGUGGGCGUAGAUUAUGGAUUUUUGAUGGGAGCAUAACCAUUUGUGAAAGCUGACUACGCAAUUGCAUGCUCCUACAAUCACUUCAUGGAAGCUAGUAAAAGGGUCGGAUUUAGAUUAAGCAUUUUUGACGUGUUUAUUAUCCUGACCCGAACCCAAAAAUGGGGGCAUGGGUUUGAUUUGAAGUGGGCCAAAUCGAUUUGGGAACGGAUUACCCACAGCCGUUAGAUUGCAACGGUCACAAAGACAUCAGAAAUAAAGUAAAAGCUUUACCAAUUAAAGUAAAGUGCCUUGACUUGUGCGCGUGCGUGAACAUGGAAGAGGGGUCGGUUGCUGGGAUGGGACCUUUUUUAUUUUAUUUUUACGUCGUCUUUAUGUUGUCUUUUUUUUUUUUAUAUAAAAAAGUCUAUGUUCAUAGAUCAUCUUUGCAAAAAAUUAGACAUCAAAACUAUUUCGACAUCCAAUUGUGUCCUACGAAAUCAAUGAAUACGGUGCUUCAAGAAAGUAUUAAAAUUU
This 6580-nucleotide long non-coding RNA is filed under the name Prunus persica (peach). RNAcentral describes it as "long non-coding RNA (PPER_LNC007604)". The record is from RNAcentral. Lineage: Eukaryota; Viridiplantae; Streptophyta; Magnoliopsida; Rosales; Rosaceae.